GACGAACGCUGGCGGCGUGCUUAACACAUGCAAGUCGAACGGAAAGGCCCUGCUUUUGUGGGGUGCUCGAGUGGCGAACGGGUGAGUAACACGUGAGUAACCUGCCCUUGACUUUGGGAUAACUUCAGGAAACUGGGGCUAAUACCGGAUAGGAGCUCCUGCUGCAUGGUGGGGGUUGGAAAGUUUCGGCGGUUGGGGAUGGACUCGCGGCUUAUCAGCUUGUUGGUGGGGUAGUGGCUUACCAAGGCUUUGACGGGUAGCCGGCCUGAGAGGGUGACCGGCCACAUUGGGACUGCGAUACGGCCCAGACGCCUACGGGAGGCAGCAGUGGGGAGUAUUGCACAAUGGGCGGAAGCCUGAGGCAGCAACGCCGCGUGCGGGAUGACGGCCUUCGGGUUGUAAACCGCUUUCGCCUGUGACGAAGCGUGAGUGACGGUAAUGGGUAAAGAAGCACCGGCUAACUACGUG
Molecule: ribosomal RNA, 468 nt
Filed under: uncultured bacterium
Lineage: Bacteria
Description: partial 16S ribosomal RNA
Rfam family: Bacterial small subunit ribosomal RNA
Source: RNAcentral